ACACCCGGGAAACUGGGUAUAAUACCCGAUAGGUCUCGAUUGCUGGAAUGCAUCGAGAUUUAAAGCUCCGGCGCCUAAGGAUGGGUCUGCGGCCUAUCAGGUAGUAGUGGGUGUAGCGUACUACUAGCAUACGACGGGUACGGGUUGUGAGAGCAAGAGCCCGGAGAUGGAUUCUGAGACACGAAUCCAGGCCCUACGGGGUGCAGCAGGCGCGAAAACUUUACAAUGCUGGCAACAGCGAUAAGGGAACCUCGAGUGCCAGGUUACAAAUCUGGCUGUCGAGAUGCCUAAAAAGCAUUUCAUAGCAAGGGCCGGGCAAGACCGGUGCCAGCCGCCGCGGUAACACCGGCGGCUCGAGUGGUAACCGUUAUUAUUGGGUCUAAAGGGUCUGUAGCCGGCCGGAUAAGUCUCUUGAGAAAUCUGGCAGCUUAACUGUCAGGCUUUCAGGAGAUACUGUCUGGCUCGAGGCCGGGAGAGGUGAGAGGUACUUCAGGGGUAGGGGUGAAAUCUUGUAAUCCUUGAAGGACCACCAGUGGCGAAGGCGUCUCACCAGAACGGACCUGACGGCAAGGGACGAAAGCUAGGGGCACGAACCGGAUUAGAUACCCGGGUAGUCCUAGCCGUAAACGAUACUCGCUAGGUGUCGGCCACGGUGCGACCGUUGUCGGUGCCGUAGGGAAGCCGUGAAGCGAGCCACCUGGGAAGUACGGCCGCAAGGCUGAAACUUAAAGGAAUUGGCGGGGGAGCACCACAACGGGUGGAGCUUGCGGUUUAAUUGGAUUCAACGCCGGAAAUCUUACCGGGACCGACAGCAAUAUGAAGGCCAGGCUGAAGACUUUGCCGGAUUAGCUGAGAGGUGGUGCAUGGCCGUCGUCAGUUCGUACUGUGAAGCAUCCUGUUAAGUCAGGCAACGAGCGAGACCCA
This 924-nucleotide ribosomal RNA is filed under the name uncultured methanogenic archaeon. RNAcentral's name for it is "bacterial SSU rRNA". It matches the Rfam family "Archaeal small subunit ribosomal RNA", at positions 128 to 1054 of the family's 1478-position model. The record is from RNAcentral. Lineage: Archaea; Methanobacteriati; Methanobacteriota.